UCUGGGGUCCGGGUUCCAUCGGCCGCCAUCCCGGCCGUGGCACUGCCAUGGCGGGCCCGCGUACGCGGGGGGAGGCGGAGGCCGUUCUCGUCCUCCACUCCAGCUGGUCGCACCAUUGCCAGGGGGCUUGGGGGGGCGCAGCUCUGGGACCCAGGUACUCUGCUGACGGGCACCGGCGUCCCGAUGGCGGCGGAUGGAGGAGCGGAGUUUGAAGGCCACGUGUGGCGAGAAGCGCCCGGGUUCGGGAUUCAGCGCCCGCCUGCGUGUGUUCCUUUCGCCGCAGGCCCCUUCGCCCUUUCCUGCCCCCCCUCCAGUCUCUAAGUGUUAUCUUUGGUGAGGAGUUUCAGGGGAGCACUAAGCCCUUUGCCCUAGUGCUCCCUCCGCAGGAAGUGGGACCCCUUUUCGGCCUCACUCCUGUAUUUCUUAAGAAGGAACCCCCCCGUUUUGCUCUAGGUACGACCUCUGGUUCCGCUUGGUCCCCAAGUAUAGCUGACACUGAAGGGUCUGUGUCAGCCACCCCUAAACACUUGGCUGUGAGGACUGUGACAGCAGAUGUGUGGCUUUUGCGACCCUCUUCCUUUAGCGUCCUGGAAGCUUUCUUCCCUCCAAACUGUUGGACGUGGAGGAGGGACCUGGCCCCUGUGGUGUCAUAUUUUACGCCGCAAUGGUGGUGACCAGAAACUUGGAUCCUGGCUCCUGGAUUCCGUGCUGAAGUUUGUUUCUCGGCCACAACUUUUCCUUGCAGAUGUUGAUGCCCAAGAAGAACCGGAUUGCCAUCUACGAACUCCUUUUUAAGGAAGGGGUGAUGGUUGCCAAAAAAGACGUCCACAUGCCCAAACACCCCGAGCUG
This 850-nucleotide long non-coding RNA is filed under the name Rattus norvegicus (Norway rat). Its description in RNAcentral is "long non-coding RNA NONRATT017622". Lineage: Eukaryota; Metazoa; Chordata; Mammalia; Rodentia; Muridae. The record is from RNAcentral.